Molecule: ribosomal RNA, 253 nt
Filed under: uncultured bacterium
Lineage: Bacteria
Description: partial 16S ribosomal RNA
Rfam family: Bacterial small subunit ribosomal RNA
Source: RNAcentral
UACGUAGGGUGCAAGCGUUGUCCGGAAUUAUUGGGCGUAAAGAGCUCGUAGGUGGCGGGUCACGUCGGGUGUGAAAGCCCGGGGCUUAACCCCGGGUCUGCAUUCGAUACGGGCUUGCUAGGGUCCGGCAGGGGAGACUGGAAUUCCUGGUGUAGCGGUGAAAUGCGCAGAUAUCAGGAGGAACACCGGUGGCGAAGGCGGGUCUCUAGUACGGUACUGACGCUGAGACGCGAAAGCGUGGGGAGCGAACAGG